Molecule: ribosomal RNA, 691 nt
Filed under: Citrobacter sp. Cf112
Lineage: Bacteria; Pseudomonadati; Pseudomonadota; Gammaproteobacteria; Enterobacterales; Enterobacteriaceae
Description: partial 23S ribosomal RNA
Rfam family: Bacterial large subunit ribosomal RNA
Source: RNAcentral
CCGGGUUGCGGACAGUGUCUGGUGGGUAGUUUGACUGGGGCGGUCUCCUCCUAAAGAGUAACGGAGGAGCACGAAGGUUAGCUAAUCCUGGUCGGACAUCAGGAGGUUAGUGCAAAGGCAUAAGCUAGCUUGACUGCGAGAGUGACGGCUCGAGCAGGUGCGAAAGCAGGUCUUAGUGAUCCGGUGGUUCUGAAUGGAAGGGCCAUCGCUCAACGGAUAAAAGGUACUCCGGGGAUAACAGGCUGAUACCGCCCAAGAGUUCAUAUCGACGGCGGUGUUUGGCACCUCGAUGUCGGCUCAUCACAUCCUGGGGCUGAAGUAGGUCCCAAGGGUAUGGCUGUUCGCCAUUUAAAGUGGUACGCGAGCUGGGUUUAGAACGUCGUGAGACAGUUCGGUCCCUAUCUGCCGUGGGCGCUGGAGAAUUGAGGGGGGCUGCUCCUAGUACGAGAGGACCGGAGUGGACGCAUCACUGGUGUUCGGGUUGUCAUGCCAAUGGCAUUGCCCGGUAGCUAAAUGCGGAAGAGAUAAGUGCUGAAAGCAUCUAAGCACGAAACUUGCCCCGAGAUGAGUUCUCCCUGAGACUUUAAGUCUCCUGAAGGAACGUUAAAGACGAUGACGUUGAUAGGUCGGGUGUGUAAGUGUAGCGAUACAUUGAGCUAACCGAUACUAAUGAACCGUGAGGCUUAACCUU